GGGGGAGCGCUGCCGGGCUGCAGGCGAUCGUUUUGGCGCAACGGCAUCGGCGGCGUCACGGCCCCAGCGUUCCACCCGGGCUUCUGCAGGACGGGUCUCCAUGCACCGAGAAAGGAGAACGCCCGCGGCCGCAGCCCGUCCCUCCCGCGGCUCCCGGCUGCAAAACAUCUGUGUUCCCAGACAGAAGAAUAGCAGAGCUACUUAGAGCAGUUCCAUUACCCAAAAAAGCUGUCUCUAAGGUCUGUGGCAUUUGACAGACCCCCCUCAGGUUUGAUCGCACCAGAGGAACAAGCAAAACCUUCCGAAGUAGAAGCUGAAGUUUUAGAAGCUCACCUAAAGUGAAACAAGAUGGACACCCUUUGAGGCUGCACAGCAACAGGGCUACCUUGGAGCUAGCAGCAGUGAUAGCAGCUGAGGAAAAGCCCUCUUAUCAGCACUGCACAUUGCCUGCACAACAGAUACCGUGGUGGGAUAAGGAGGAUGGAUAGAGCAAGCUGUUACUGUGGAAAAAUAACAUAAGGUCCUCUACCCUAUACUCAGUGAGUUACCUGCUGCCACAGCAAACUGAAUGAAAGUUGGAAAACUGGGGGAGUUGAAUUGAGUGACCUGCUGCUGCUCAGGGACCAUCUGCUAACUUGUUCCUAUUGAGAGCAGCAGGACUCUGCCUUCUAUUUCUGACCUCACAAUGCAUAUGAAGAGGCCAUCUGAGACAACUGUGAGAAACUUUCAACACUUAUUUCCUUAGUUCAUCCAGUACAUCUGGCUUCUAAAGCAGUGAUUUCAAAAUCCAGGGAAAUCCUACUGGAGAGAAAACCAAUGUUCUUACUUUUCAAGAGACCAGUGUGGAAUUUUCCAGAUGAUUACAGAAGAUUUUCUGGUUGUUCAAACUCCCCUACUUUCUCAGUUAAGUGACUCUCCUUAAAAUCAACAAUUGCCUACUAUGAACGAUGCAGAGUUUGACCACCAGAAGUUCUCCUGGAUGAACUAUGUUCCUAGAGACCUUUCUCUUAGUUGCCUGCAAAAGCAAGUCAACUUCUGUUAACUUUGCAACAGAGCUCUCACUGAAAUUACCUCUGACUGUGAGGCUUUAAAUAUUGAGACGGAACAAUGAUAACUCCCUGCUUUAAAAUGGCACACAUCAGUCAUCAAAGCUUGACAGCUGCCGAGUAAGAAAUACUGCAGAAUCAAUUCAAUUUUCAUUCUGUAAAGUCUUGUUAUCGAGAAGGAUCUCAUCUACCAACUAAGAUAUACUUGGUUUUAGAUUCCAUCAACUAUCCUGUUAAUUUUUUUUUCCUGAUACUAAUAUUUGGACUUCAUAAAUCUGAGCUGUUUUAAAAAUUACUGAAAGUUCUACCAAAGCAAGAAAGUUUAAUCUUAAAGGGCUUUAGAGCAAAUAUUUCCAAGAAUAACACAAUCACCUAGCAAUUAAAAUCAAAGACCUUCCUUAUUCUACACAUAGUCAACUUUAAACCAUUUACUCAUUUUUUUCUUUAAAAAUAAAUUCUACAUUAAUUGUUUUUAUGAUACAGUAAGUCUUAACUGCAUUAUUAUAGUUAGAGUUGUAAACUGGUAUAAACGUCAUACAUAGAAUCAGCUACAAUCUUAUGAAUAGUAACUUAAGGCUGUCAUAAAUAUGAAUGCUGUUAUGAAAUUGAGAAUGAAAACUAUCAAAACUGCUAUGUAUUUGAAAUUAAACUGGCUGUCAAUUGCACAUAAUCUUUCAUUAUUAAACCUUACCCUACCUUA
Centrocercus urophasianus (Greater sage-grouse) is the source of this 1746-nucleotide long non-coding RNA. RefSeq lists it as uncharacterized. The record is from RefSeq and is a predicted model, not a curated record. Lineage: Eukaryota; Metazoa; Chordata; Aves; Galliformes; Phasianidae. The transcript has 9 exons.